Molecule: ribosomal RNA, 253 nt
Filed under: uncultured bacterium
Lineage: Bacteria
Description: partial 16S ribosomal RNA
Rfam family: Bacterial small subunit ribosomal RNA
Source: RNAcentral
UACGUAGGGUGCGAGCGUUAAUCGGAAUUACUGGGCGUAAAGUGUGCGCAGGCGGCCGCGCAAGUCGAGUGUGAAAGCCCCGAGCUUAACUUGGGAAUUGCGCUCGAAACUACGUGGCUGGAGUGCGGCAGAGGAAGGUGGAAUUCCAGGUGUAGCGGUGAAAUGCGUAGAGAUCUGGAGGAACACCGAUGGCGAAGGCAGCCUUCUGGGCCAACACUGACGCUCAUGCACGAAAGCGUGGGGAGCAAACAGG